UACGUAGGGUGCGAGCGUUAAUCGGAAUUACUGGGCGUAAAGCGCGCAGGCGGCUUUGCAAGACAGAUGUGAAAUCCCCGGGCUCAACCUGGGAACUGCAUUUGUGACUGCAAGGCUAGAGUACGGCAGAGGGGGAUGGAAUUCCGCGUGUAGCAGUGAAAUGCGUAGAUAUGCGGAGGAACACCAAUGGCGAAGGCAAUCCCCUGGGCCUGUACUGACGCUCAUGCACGAAAGCGUGGGGAGCAAACAGG
This 251-nucleotide ribosomal RNA is filed under the name uncultured bacterium. Its description in RNAcentral is "partial 16S ribosomal RNA". It matches the Rfam family "Bacterial small subunit ribosomal RNA", at positions 524 to 776 of the family's 1533-position model. The record is from RNAcentral.